This 466-nucleotide ribosomal RNA is filed under the name uncultured bacterium. Its description in RNAcentral is "bacterial SSU rRNA". It matches the Rfam family "Bacterial small subunit ribosomal RNA", at positions 29 to 506 of the family's 1533-position model. The record is from RNAcentral.
AUGAAUGCUGGCGGCGUGUCUAAGGCAUGCAAGUCGAACGGUUCUCCAUGGUUCGCAAGAAUCAUGAAUAAUAGUGGCAAACGGGAGCGUAACACAUUGGCAACCUACCUUGUACUCGUGAACAACCACUGGAAACGGUGGCUAAUACACGAUAUGGAUGGGGGGACACAAGUCAUUCCCAUUGAAAGUUUUUCGGUACAAGAGGGGCCUAUGGUCCAUCAGUUAGUUGGCGGGGUAACGGCCCACCAAGACUAUGACGGAUACCAGGCGCGAGAGCGUGACCUGGCUCACUGGGACUGAGAACUGCCCAGACACCUACGGGUGGCUGCAGUCGAGAAUAUUCCGCAAUGCACGAAAGUGUGACGGAGCGACGCCGCGUGUCGGAAGAAGGCCUUCGGGUCGUAAACGACUUUUAUCAGGGACGAAUUUUGACGGUACCUGAAGAAUAAGGGGUUGCUAACUCUGU